GACGAACGCUGGCGGCGUGCCUAAUACAUGCAAGUCGAGCGCAGGAAACUGACGGAACUCUUCGGAGGGAAGGCAGUGGAAUGAGCGGCGGACGGGUGAGUAACACGUAAGGAACCUGCCUCAAGGAUUGGGAUAACUCCGAGAAAUCGGAGCUAAUACCGGAUAGUUCAACGGACCGCAUGGUCCGCUGAUGAAAGGCGCUGCGGCGUCACCUUGAGAUGGCCUUGCGGUGCAUUAGCUAGUUGGUGGGGUAACGGCCCACCAAGGCGACGAGGCAUAGACGACCUGAGAGGGUGAUCGGCCACACUGGGACUGAGACACGGCCCAGACUCCUACGGGAGGCAGCAGUAGGGAAUCUUCCACAAUGGACGAAAGUCUGAUGGAGCAACGCCGCGUGAGUGAUGAAGGUUUUCGGAUCGUAAAACUCUGUUGUAAGGGAAGAACACGUACGAGAGGGAAUGCUCGUACCUUGACGGUACCUUACGAGAAAGCCACGGCUAACUACGUGCCAGCCGCCGCGGUAA
RNAcentral lists this ribosomal RNA (524 nucleotides) under uncultured bacterium. RNAcentral describes it as "partial 16S ribosomal RNA". It matches the Rfam family "Bacterial small subunit ribosomal RNA", at positions 28 to 523 of the family's 1533-position model. The record is from RNAcentral.